RNAcentral lists this ribosomal RNA (460 nucleotides) under uncultured bacterium. RNAcentral's name for it is "partial 16S ribosomal RNA". It matches the Rfam family "Bacterial small subunit ribosomal RNA", at positions 338 to 795 of the family's 1533-position model. The record is from RNAcentral.
CCUACGGGCGGCAGCAGUGAGGAAUAUUGGUCAAUGGACGAGAGUCUGAACCAGCCAAGUAGCGUGAAGGAUGACUGCCCUAUGGGUUGUAAACUUCUUUUAUAUGGGAAUAAAACGUUCCACGUGUGGGAUUUUGUAUGUACCAUAUGAAUAAGGAUCGGCUAACUCCGUGCCAGCAGCCGCGGUAAUACGGAGGAUCCGAGCGUUAUCCGGGUUUAUUGGGUUUAAAGGGAGCGUAGGUGGAUUGUUAAGUCAGUUGUGAAAGUUUGCGGCUCAACCGUAAAAGUGCAGUUGAAACUGGCAGUCUUGAGUACAGUAGAGGUGGGCGGAAUUCGUGGUGUAGCGGUGAAAUGCUUAGAUAUCACGAAGAACUCCGAUUGCGAAGGCAGUUCACUGGACUGCAACUGACACUGAGGCUCGAAAGUGUGGGUAUCAAACAGGAUUAGAUACCCGAGUAGUC